ACAGAGGUGGCAAACGUUGUCCGGAUUUAUUGGGUGUAAAGGGCAUGUAGGCGGUUUUGUAAGUCAAAGGUGAAAUGGCCCGGCUUAACCAGGUCAUUGCCUUUGAAACUGCAGGACUUGAGUACGGAAGAGGAAAGCGGAAUUCCCAGUGUAGCGGUGAAAUGCGUAGAUAUUGGGAGGAACACCGGUGGCGAAGGCGGCAUCCUGGACUACUACUGACGCUGAGGAGCGAAAGCCAGGGGAGCAAACAGGA
This 253-nucleotide ribosomal RNA is filed under the name uncultured prokaryote. RNAcentral's name for it is "partial 16S ribosomal RNA". It matches the Rfam family "Bacterial small subunit ribosomal RNA", at positions 525 to 777 of the family's 1533-position model. The record is from RNAcentral.